AAAUUGAAGAGUUUGAUCAUGGCUCAGAUUGAACGCUGGCGGCAGGCCUAACACAUGCAAGUCGAACGGUAACAGGAAGAAGCUUGCUUCUUUGCUGACGAGUGGCGGACGGGUGAGUAAUGUCUGGGAAACUGCCUGAUGGAGGGGGAUAACUACUGGAAACGGUAGCUAAUACCGCAUAACGUCGCAAGACCAAAGAGGGGGACCUUCGGGCCUCUUGCCAUCGGAUGUGCCCAGAUGGGAUUAGCUAGUAGGUGGGGUAACGGCUCACCUAGGCGACGAUCCCUAGCUGGUCUGAGAGGAUGACCAGCCACACUGGAACUGAGACACGGUCCAGACUCCUACGGGAGGCAGCAGUGGGGAAUAUUGCACAAUGGGCGCAAGCCUGAUGCAGCCAUGCCGCGUGUAUGAAGAAGGCCUUCGGGUUGUAAAGUACUUUCAGCGGGGAGGAAGGGAGUAAAGUUAAUACCUUUGCUCAUUGACGUUACCCGCAGAAGAAGCACCGGCUAACUCCGUGCCAGCAGCCGCGGUAAUACGGAGGGUGCAAGCGUUAAUCGGAAUUACUGGGCGUAAAGCGCACGCAGGCGGUUUGUUAAGUCAGAUGUGAAAUCCCCGGGCUCAACCUGGGAACUGCAUCUGAUACUGGCAAGCUUGAGUCUCGUAGAGGGGGGUAGAAUUCCAGGUGUAGCGGUGAAAUG
RNAcentral lists this ribosomal RNA (698 nucleotides) under Escherichia coli. RNAcentral describes it as "bacterial SSU rRNA". It matches the Rfam family "Bacterial small subunit ribosomal RNA", at positions 1 to 688 of the family's 1533-position model. Lineage: Bacteria; Pseudomonadati; Pseudomonadota; Gammaproteobacteria; Enterobacterales; Enterobacteriaceae. The record is from RNAcentral.